CUGUUCCAGUCCCCGCUAGAAACAGGAUGUCCUUCAGCACAUUAAUCCAGCAGGUCAUGUUAUCCCUGGAGUAGAAAACCCAGAGACGGCUACUUUCCAGGGUCCUGCAUCUGGGGUGCAAGUGAGGCACACGCAGAUGAGACUCCACCUGCCCUGGGCAGCUUUCCUGAGCCUUGAGAAACCAGCUCACCAUGAAUCCAAGGUGUCUGCUGUUCCUUGCCACCAUUUCAUGGAACCUGUUGUAUGUACCUAUUCAUGUUUUCCAUGUUUCAAAUAUGACUGAACCUGACAUAUAUAAGAACGCAAAAGAUUCUUCAAAAUCAAACUGUGUCCGGAAUUGGUGGGUUCUUGGUCUCACUGACUUCAAGAAUGAAGCCACGGACCCUGGCGGUUGCUAGUAACACAAUAAUAAAGCUGCUUUAUUUUCCAGUGAAGAUGUAUGUGAUAGGGAGUGGAGGAAGAAAAAGGCCAGAAAAUUCCAUAGUUAGCAAAUAUACCUUUCUUACUUAAAAUUCUUUUUCCAAUGUGAGCCUUCUAAAGAGUUACUGAGAAAUUAGGUGAGCUCACCUCAUUUAAUGCAAUAGAUAUGUUUCUGAAAAAUAAGCAAUACAUAGGACAUUGGCCAAUUAAGAAUUCUGAUGAAGAAGAAUUUUCACAUCCGAAAGAGUAAAAAUGAAAAACGGUACAAAUGUAGUGGCUUUUAAAUUUCAAAACAAAUUAUUUUGAUAAGAUAAAUAUUCCUCUCAUAAAGUGAAAAUGGAAGAGACUGCUUGCUGGGUGUUCGUCAAAAUGGAGUUAGAUGGUCUGUCCCAGACUCCCCUGUUGUUAGUUCUGAGAACAGAAGUAAUGGUGCUUCUUCAGGACUGGCUCAUAGAAACCUGCCGUGUUCAGCCCCCACAAUCCUCUCCCUUCUGCUGGCUGGAAACAAAUGACAACGAAGCCUCACGUCUUGGAGAAACCACACUGCUGAGGAACUCAAGUCCUAGAAGAACCAUUUGAAGAGACCCAUCUCACUAAAGAAAAUCACACAAGCAAGAAGUAAACUUCAUUGUAUCUAUGUAUUUAAUUGUCAUAACAGUCUACCUUAACUGAUACAGCAAAAAUUCGCUCCUUUUCUGGACACCCAGUUUCAAAAUCUCAGUGUCAUUUUUUACUUCUCUCUUUUCAGGUUGUUUAAUAUAAUAAAAUUUGUGUGUGUGUGUGUGUGUGUGUGACAAGGUCUUGCUCUGUUGCCCAGGCUGGAGUGCAAUGGCACGCUCCCAGCCCACUACAGCCUUGACCUCCAAGCUCAAGUGUUCCUCCCACCUCAGCCUCCAGAGUAACUGGGACUACAGGCAUGGGCCACCACACCCGGCUAAUUUUUGUACUUUUUGUAGAGACAGGGUUUCACCAUGUUGCCCAGGCUGGUCUUGAACCCCUGGGCUCAAGCGAUCUGCCCAUCUCCACCUCCCAAAAUUCUAGGAUUACAGGCGUGAGCCACUACACCCAACCAUUUUAUUUUUAAAAGUUUUCUUUGCAAUAUUGCUCACAUUGUUUCCUUCCUUUUUAUUCUUAUUGUCACUCCCAAGUUCAGGCUUUUACCUCUUUUAUUUGAAGUAUUAAAGUAUACUUCUAAGUCAUUUCUGUGGCUUAAAUUUAUUUAAUCCACUCCAUCCUGCAUCCUACCAACACAAUAACAUUGUUUCAUCAUUUCAAAUUGAAAUCGAAACUCUCCAAAGCUUUCCUACUGCUGAAUGGAUAAAAACACAAAAUCCUCAAUAGAGAAUUCACUUUCUGGAGCCAACUUACCUUUCCAAAUAUUUCCCAUUAUUCCCUAAGAGAAUCCUCCUGACAUACUCACUGUUUUUCAUAUACACUAGACCUUUUCUCAACCACCUAUUUGUCCACACAUUUUUCUUCCAGCUAGAAUAUUAUUUUCCCUUUCUCACUUCUGAAAGUCUUACCUGUCAUUCAUGGUUCAUCUCAAGCUCAAUCUUCUCCUUGAAACCUUUAAGCAUACCCUCCUGGAAAGUUAUCUCCCUCACCUCGAACCACCCCCCCAGCCCCUGCCAGAAUCUCCUAUAGGGCUGAUUGUUUAUCCUGCUUAUUAUAUAUUUAUAAAACACUCCACUGAGUUAUUAAUUACCUUUUCCUUGACUGUGAAAACAUGACUCUGGCUUCAAGGUAGGACCAUUUUUUCUCUAACACUGUGUCUCAUACACUUCAGCACAAGCUCUUAGUGGCCUGUGCAUUCAACUCCCAUGCAUAGCCACUUCCUCCAGGCAAACCCCACAGCCAGCAUCCAAAUUUUAAAAGGGGUUCUGUCAUCAACCCAAAGUUUCUUCUCUCUCAAGGAACCUAGAUUUAGAAGUUGAGUCUAGGCCACCUGUCUAAGAUACAGUAGUUAAUUUAACAUAUUUUAUUGCUCUCAACAUCACAGAGAAAGAGCCUUACUGCAGAUCUCAUUCUUUCCUUCAAAGCCAGUUUGCCCAUUCCUCUUCAGAAACCUUUAAGAGUGGUUAUUGGGAGAGAUGAUAAGACUCCAUCUGCUUAAGGAGUCCCUCUAACCCAGAAUAGUAGAUGUAAACACCUGACAUGUUGUUAUAGAGUGAAUGUUUGUGUUCCCCUCCAAUCCAUAUGUUGAAAUUCCAAGCCCCAAUGUGUUCGCAUUGGGAGGUGAGGCCUUUGGGAGGUAAAUAGAUCAUGAAGGUGAAGUCUUCAUGAAUGGAUUAGUGUCCUUAUAAAAGAGACCCCAGAGAGCUCUCUCAUCCUGUUUCUGCCAUGUGAGGACACAGCAAGAAGUUGGUCAUCUGCAACCUGAAGUGGCUCCUCCCCAGAAACUGAAUCUGCUGGGGUCUUAAUGGUGGGCUUCCCAGCCUCCAGAAUUAUGAGUGUAAAUGUUUGUUGUUUAAGCUACCCAGUCUAGGGUAGUUUGCUAUACUACCCCAAACUGACUAAGAUACAUAUGUUUGUCAUCCACUCAGUUGUUUUCCUAAAAUAAAUGAAGUCAGCUCCAAAGAUGAAUUUUCAUCUCUUUUUGUAGAGAUGGGUGCUAUUAUGCUUUUUAAUGAACGUUUAUUCACAAAUAAAAACAAAACAUACCUCUCACAUCCUCAGAGCAAAUACUUACAGUAACAUACAUUGAUGCUCACAAGCUCAUUACAUUUCAUGUUUACUAUUCAUUGAUAACAUUACAUUUAUUAUUAUCACAUAAACCAUACCUCCUGUUUAUGAAGCACUUAUGGUGUUUUAGUCAAUGUUAUGGUACCUGCUAUAUAUGGUCUCUAAUUUUAUUUUAACUUCCUAUAGUAAACAAUAUUAGGUGCUAACUCAAUAGUCAUUUUCUAACCUGAUUUUUCCUUGCAAACAGAACCCCAAAUUUGUUUGGAGAGAAAUGUGUCCAAAUCCAAACAAAGCAUCACCAUUUCUUUGAACCAUCAUAAGGAUCUAAUCAUUUUUUUUGUUUUCCUAGCCUCCCUCUAGCCAGAGAUACUGGGUAACACAGUUCUGGCUGAGAAGACAAGAGAAGAAAUCUGCUAAGCAUUUCUGGAAAAAGUUUUGAUUUGCUGAUGAAAGGGAACAGACAUACUGGUUGCCUUCCUUUUCCCUUUCAGCUGCCUAGUCGCCAUUUUGCAAUGUGAAACAACAUCAUUAAGGAAAGAUCAAAACAAUUGCAGAGAUGUCAACCAUCAUGCCUUUGAAUUCAUGCUCACAGUUGUCUGCCUCCAGAUUCAGUUAUAUUUGAGGUACUCUUUGAGUUAAGAUCCUUCUCAUUUUAUACCACUUGCAGCUGAACACACUCCCCACUAAUUUACCUUGUAAGGUGAAUUUCACUUAAAGGAAGAACACAUAAGUCAGGGAAUGACACAUAAUAGUAAAUGCAGGGUUUUUUUUUCUAUUUAUGAUAUAGAUUUAUACAACUGCUAUGUUCUUGACAUUGUACCAAUUUCAAGGUACAAAUAAGACAUAAUCCCUAAAAGCAUGGGUUACAAAAUCUGGGUUCAGCAUAGGGUUUCAUGAUAAACAAACAAACACAAAUUGUUUUUUAUUGUAUUUCCUUCUUCUUCACAUCUUGUGAAUCUAAGAAAAAUAUCAGAAUGUUCGUUUCAGCUCAAUUUUUGAAGAGUACAAUCUCUAAGUAAAAAGAAACUGUAAAUGUUUAUAAAUGUAACUAGAGCCUAGUAGAAAAUAAAGCCAUGCAAGUGUGUUUAGGUCCUAAUCUUAUUAACCAGAUUAGUGACACACAGUCUGCCCAAAGUUAAUGAAAGCAGUGAGGUUCUUUGACUUCAGUAGAUACACACCUGAACCACAGAGAUAAACUUGCUUCAAACCUGUGCGAUAUGUUUUUCUAAGCAUAAAAUUGAGCAUGAUAGCUCCAAUUUCAGUCUCAGUUUCAAAGCUUCCCUUUCCCGAAUAAGAGGCAAACUGUCACAUUAAAUUUAGCGAAUUAAAAUCAGUUAACUUGAAAAGCUCUUGGCCCCAAUGCAGAGAAAAUUGUUUGCAUAAUAAUAACUUAUUUCCUUUUUUAAAAGGCGGACUUCUGCCUGAAUGCUUCUAUAAACUUUUAAGAAAAUGGGAUUCUCAAAUCUCAAGCGUAUUGGGUUGCAGUUGGCACUUGAAGCUGGGGACAUGCAGAGCUGGCUAAUGUCAGCAGCUGUAGGACUGUCAAGAAAAAUAGGUGGAAGGGACACUUUUAUUAUAAGUAGACUUGCAAGGCAUUCCAACUUUCAGCUGCUCAACCCAGUAUACCAAACACCUCUGACUACCUCAAGUGUGGCCUUGCUGAGUGCUUCCAUAUUUAGGGGUUAUUAGACAGGACUGAAGCAAGUGACCUCUAAUGAGGAAGCAAUCAGGGCAGGCUCUGACCCUCCUCAGAGGUACUGUAAUGAACUGGCCUUGGAAGGUCUUUGAUGCUGCCUUUGC
Molecule: long non-coding RNA, 4902 nt
Filed under: Homo sapiens (human)
Lineage: Eukaryota; Metazoa; Chordata; Mammalia; Primates; Hominidae
Description: HSALNT0298323
Source: RNAcentral